UAGGGAAUAUUGGUAAUGGGCGAAAGCCUGAACCAGCAACGACGCGUGUGCGAUGAAGGCCUUCGGGUCGUAAAGCACUUUUUGGAGGGAUGAGGAAGGACAGUACCUCCAGAAUAAGCCUCGGCUAACUACGUGCAAGCAGCCGCGGUAACACGUAGGAGGCAAGCGUUAUUCGGAUUUACUGGGCGUAAAGCGAGUGCAGGCGGUUCGGAAAGUUGGAUGUGAAAGCUCCUGGCUGAACUGGGAGAGGUCGUUCAAUACUUCCGGACUUGAGAGGGGGAGAGGGAGGUGGAAUUCCGGGUGGAGUGGUGA
This 312-nucleotide ribosomal RNA is filed under the name uncultured prokaryote. RNAcentral describes it as "bacterial SSU rRNA". It matches the Rfam family "Bacterial small subunit ribosomal RNA", at positions 355 to 684 of the family's 1533-position model. The record is from RNAcentral.